This 1972-nucleotide long non-coding RNA is filed under the name Mytilus galloprovincialis (Mediterranean mussel). Lineage: Eukaryota; Metazoa; Mollusca; Bivalvia; Mytilida; Mytilidae. The record is from RNAcentral.
CUUUGUUUACCCCGAGAGAUCCGAAAGGAAUUGUUUAUUCAAUUGAAAAAGGCAGGAAAACUUACAUGUAAUAUGAAUUAAUUGUAAGUAAACAUGACACAAUAUAGUCUUUGUUAUGUAAUUAUCACUCUGGUCUGCAGGAAUAGCUGAUAAUCAAGGGAGAUAACACACUUCACACGAGUAAAGUGAGAUACAUCAUCACAUGCUUUUAUACAAUGAUUUGACCCUGGUCAGUAGAUAUCAUAUGCAAAUAAACAGAAAAAGACCUUGUACAUGUAUUAAGAAAAUCAUGUAUUACUAUUGUUAAUGCACACGAGCAAACACAAGAUAUUGUCAUUUCUCAGUGAAAAAGGGGGAGGGCCAACCCUCUUGAAAACAACAUUGCUAUUCAACUACAUGUAUUAAGCUAGUUAGCUACUACCCAUUGCUUCUAAUAUAAACAGUUUAAAUGAAGGUGGCUAAGCCACAAGGGAGAGGCAUUUUUCUUUCUUUGUGAUAAAACUUUCAAGAAUUAGAUUUUUCUCUCUCGAUAAUACUUAUGUACUUAAAUUAAAUGAUAACACAGCCUGAGUAAAAAAAUUUGUCUUAUUUCAGUUCCAGACAUAUCAUUACUAUUAAACAUGAGAUGGCAAACUAAAGGUUUUAAAAAGUCCUGAAUAACUGGUAAGCAUUUUGAUUUAUUAGGUAAGCUCUAAAUUAUUUAUUUAUGGUAUUUGUGCAAAUGAAAUUACAGUCGGUAUGUUAUAAAUAUGCUUAUAUGAAAACUGUUGCUAUGGUCUUGCUAUUAAAUGAAAAGGCUUGGUUACUGAUCUUUUCGACUCAACAUUUCGAGUUAAAUCUUGCGGCAACUGAUUCUCAUGUAACACUGCAAACUCUAUUUAGCACUAUUUUAAUCUGUCGUUAUUUAAUGACGCCAUAAUACGUGUGAUGUCACAAUGUUUCCUAUAAUACCUCAUGUGGAUUUCUCACUGAGAAAGGAUUUUCACUGAAAUACAUGUAAAAAGCCUUUUUUUCUCAAAUAGAAUUAUGUGAAUGGACAAGUUUUGAAAAUUUGCACUUCAUUGCACUCUAAUUACAUCAUAAGAAUGACUUUCCCAGUAGUUUUGAGGGGUUUUCAUAGUAUUAUAUACCAGAUGUCUACUAGUAAGAAUAGUUAUUUUGGUGUUUUUUUUUUUAUGAAAUCUACAUUUUUGCAUAAUUUCUCUGUCAAAAUGCACUUUAAGACACAGGAAAAUGUUAUGGAAUGCUUUAACAGGGUCUGUUUAUUGUAAUUUAAGGUUAUCAUCAGAAGUUUUGUCCUUGUUUUGACUAGUAAAGGUAUACUGGAAGAAAUUAAUUAUACAUACACGUUGCAUUAAAAAUAAAUGAAUAUAGCAAUAAAAGUGUCAUUGCCAUAUAGUGCUGAAACGACUUUAUUUUUUUUCAGAAAUGGACAAAAAUACACAGAUUAUUCAGAAUGUCAUACCGAUGAAGAUCACCUAAAAAUAUUUGGAAAAAUCAGAACUAUGGAUUUCAAUAUGGGACAAUACCCCUAAUGCGCCUUGAAAUGAGGAACACAAAAGUCACGUGUAAACAAAAAAUCUCUGUGUAGUGAUAUUUGACACAUUUCUAUGAUAAACAAAUGACUGAGCUGAACCAUUAGUGUUAAUUUAGAAAGUAGGGGAACACAGAAUAAAUGUGUAAAAACCAUGGAGCUAUUAAAUGUGUUCAAAGUAUUAAAAUUUCAAAGAACUUAUUGUGUUAAAAAUGGGAUUUUUUACCAUGAGGAGCCACAUCGCAAAAGGAUUCUCGGGGUUUGCUAAAUUACGGAAAAAUGAAUCACACUUCGUACCCCGAAAAUUUAACCACAUAUGUAAAAAUGUCUCAGCUUCGAAACAAGCCAUCAUACAUAUACAAGUUUACGAUAUGGGCUGAGCAACAGAAGAAAACGUUACCAUUACGGCCUAUGGAGAAACAAUUGCGCAUAUUGCCC